CCUGUGCUCGCCCCUCUCCACCCCUACCCUCUGCUCGCCCACAGAACUCUGGGGAACUCUGUCCCUUUGGGGCUCCUGGCAACAUGGACACCUCCCUGGAAGGGGCUCCAGGAGCUGGGAGAAAAGCCACUCCGGGCUUCAUCAACGACCAGCCUACCUGGGAGCAGCUCAGCUCAUUUCGAGACGUCAUAGUAUUUUUAAGAAGGAAGUAAGUGUGCUGGGACCAGCCCCAGGCUCAGGGGUUCAGAGGCCAAGCCUGGUUCCCUUUCAGGUCUGGGUCGGGGUGGCGGGUGAGCGUUUCCGUCUGGAGUGGGGUGGCGAGGACAAGGCCUGGGCCAAAAGCAGAAGUGGGCUCUGAGCGGAGCUCUGUCACCACCCCCACCGCCACCAUCUCUUCACUGCCGACAGCACCCAGGCCUCGGGGCUUCGGAGGGCGCCCGCAGGCUCCUCUCCCGCUGGACGGGGCUGUGGUAGCGGGGGGAAGAACCGAUUGGAAAUCCGGGUGGCCAGGCCCAGAGGGAACUGGGCUGGCGGUGGAACAGGGAAGAAGAAGAGAGAGACAGAAUGCGAGCGGGACAGGAGCAGAGAGAGAGGGAG
Molecule: long non-coding RNA, 597 nt
Organism: Herpailurus yagouaroundi (jaguarundi)
Lineage: Eukaryota; Metazoa; Chordata; Mammalia; Carnivora; Felidae
Exons: 3
Source: RefSeq, a predicted model, not a curated record